GCGGUCCCCAGACCAGCAACAUCAGCAUCCCUGGGAGCAUCAGAAAUGCAGAGCUCAGGCCCGCCCCGGAGCUACCGAAUCAGAACCUCCAUUUUACACACCCCUCAGCUCAGAGCUUGUUUCUCCCUGGAUUCCAUGGCCCUGUGCUGCUGGCAGCCCGGGGUUAGGGCAUUUCGUUGUCACCUGGCGACGGUGAAGCCUGGUUUCCUCCAGAGAGAUUAUGCUGCUCUCCAUCCAAGUGAAGUGGCAAUGGUGCCAGCCUGAGAUUUCUGCCCUGAGUUUUAAGUACGAGAGUGUGGGCUGACAAUAAACUCCUUUAUUCUACCCUCUUCUGUUCUCAUAAGGAGAAAUUUAAAUUCUGGAAGAGAUGAAGCUUGCAUUUACCCAGGCCUGUUAAUGAAGAAUGUUGGACUAAAUUUUGAGAAUUCAGACUGCUUAAGAAAUUUGCUUCAGAAUCCCCAAAGGAUUCUGCAAGGAGCUAGAAAGAACAUUUUCUAACAUCAGUUACUUGUUUUAAUAAACUCCUUCGGGGUAAGAUUUUGAUUCCCACCACUGAUCAUAUCAUUAAAAAGUGUAUUCUCUGCACUAA
Molecule: long non-coding RNA, 589 nt
Organism: Homo sapiens (human)
Lineage: Eukaryota; Metazoa; Chordata; Mammalia; Primates; Hominidae
Exons: 2
Source: RefSeq, a predicted model, not a curated record